This 574-nucleotide ribosomal RNA is filed under the name uncultured bacterium. Its description in RNAcentral is "bacterial SSU rRNA". It matches the Rfam family "Bacterial small subunit ribosomal RNA", at positions 34 to 622 of the family's 1533-position model. The record is from RNAcentral.
CGCUGGCGGCGUGCCUAACACAUGCAAGUCGAACGAGAAAGCGGGGGCAACUCCGCAAGUAAAGUGGCGACCGGGUGAGUAACACGUGACUAACCUACCCUCGAGUGGGGAAUAACCCCGGGAAACCGGGGCUAAUACCGCAUAACAUCCGCGGGGCGAAAGCUCUGCGGAUCAAAGGAGCAAUUCGCUUGAGGAGGGGGUCGCGGCCGAUUAGCUAGUUGGCGGGGUAACGGCCCACCAAGGCUGAGAUCGGUAGCCGGCCUGAGAGGGCGCACGGCCACACUGGAACUGAAACACGGUCCAGACUCCUACGGGAGGCAGCAGUGGGGAAUUUUGCGCAAUGGGGGGAACCCUGACGCAGCAACGCCGCGUGGAGGAUGAAGUCCCUUGGGACGUAAACUCCUUUCGACCGGGAAGAUAAUGACGGUACCGGAAGAAGAAGCACCGGCUAACUCUGUGCCAGCAGCCGCGGUAAUACAGAGGGUGCGAGCGUUGUUCGGAAUUAUUGGGCGUAAAGGGCGCGUAGGCGGUGCGGUAAGUCACCUGUGAAAUCUCCUGGCUCAACUGGGAGCUU